This 253-nucleotide ribosomal RNA is filed under the name uncultured bacterium. Its description in RNAcentral is "partial 16S ribosomal RNA". It matches the Rfam family "Bacterial small subunit ribosomal RNA", at positions 524 to 776 of the family's 1533-position model. The record is from RNAcentral.
UACGAGGGGGGCAAGCGUUGUUCGGAAUUAUUGGGCGUAAAGAGCUCGUAGGCGGUCUGUUGCGUCGGCUGUGAAAACCCGGGGCUCAACUCCGGGCCUGCAGCCGAUACGGGCAGACUAGAGUUCGGCAGGGGAGACUGGAAUUCCUGGUGUAGCGGUGAAAUGCGCAGAUAUCAGGAGGAACACCGGUGGCGAAGGCGGGUCUCUGGGCAGUAACUGACGCUGAGGAGCGAAAGCGUGGGGAGCGAACAGG